Molecule: ribosomal RNA, 492 nt
Filed under: uncultured bacterium
Lineage: Bacteria
Description: partial 16S ribosomal RNA
Rfam family: Bacterial small subunit ribosomal RNA
Source: RNAcentral
AGUGAACGCUGGCGGUAGGCCUAACACAUGCAAGUCGAACGGCAGCACAGUAAGAGCUUGCUCUUACGGGUGGCGAGUGGCGGACGGGUGAGGAAUACAUCGGAAUCUACUUUUUCGUGGGGGAUAACGUAGGGAAACUUACGCUAAUACCGCAUACGACCUACGGGUGAAAGCAGGGGAUCUUCGGACCUUGCGCGAUUGAAUGAGCCGAUGUCGGAUUAGCUAGUUGGCGGGGUAAAGGCCCACCAAGGCGACGAUCCGUAGCUGGUCUGAGAGGAUGGUCAGCCACACUGGAACUGAGCCACGGUCCAGACUCCUACGGGAGGGAGCAGUGGGGAAUAUUGGACAAUGGGCGCAAGCCUGAUCCAGCGAUACCGCGUGGGUGAAGAAGGCCUUCGGGUUGUAAAGCCCUUUUGUUGGGAAAGAAAAGCAGCAGGUUAAUACCCCGCUGUUCUGACGGUACCCAAAGAAUAAGCACCGGCUAACUUCGUG